UACGGGGGGGGCAAGCGUUGUUCGGAAUUACUGGGCGUAAAGGGCUUGUAGGUGGCCAACUAAGUCAGACGUGAAAUCCCUCGGCUUAACCGGGGAACUGCGUCUGAUACUGGAUGGCUAGAGUUUGGGAGAGGGAUGCGGAAUUCCAGGUGUAGCGGUGAAAUGCGUAGAUAUCUGGAGGAACACCGGUGGCGAAGGCGGCAUCCUGGACCGACACUGACGCUGAGGAGCGAAAGCCAGGGGAGCAAACGGG
RNAcentral lists this ribosomal RNA (253 nucleotides) under uncultured bacterium. Its description in RNAcentral is "partial 16S ribosomal RNA". It matches the Rfam family "Bacterial small subunit ribosomal RNA", at positions 524 to 776 of the family's 1533-position model. The record is from RNAcentral.